This 253-nucleotide ribosomal RNA is filed under the name uncultured bacterium. RNAcentral's name for it is "partial 16S ribosomal RNA". It matches the Rfam family "Bacterial small subunit ribosomal RNA", at positions 524 to 776 of the family's 1533-position model. The record is from RNAcentral.
UACGUAGGUGGCAAGCGUUAUCCGGAUUUACUGGGUGUAAAGGGCGUGUAGGCGGGACUGCAAGUCAGAUGUGAAACCCAUGGGCUCAACCCAUGGCCUGCAUUUGAAACUGUAGUUCUUGAGUGAUGGAGAGGCAGGCGGAAUUCCAUGUGUAGCGGUGAAAUGCGUAGAUAUAUGGAGGAACACCGGUGGCGAAAGCGGCUCUCUGGCCUGUAACUGACACUGAGGCUCGAAAGCGUGGGGAGCAAACAGG